This 695-nucleotide ribosomal RNA is filed under the name uncultured Gammaproteobacteria bacterium. RNAcentral describes it as "bacterial SSU rRNA". It matches the Rfam family "Bacterial small subunit ribosomal RNA", at positions 1 to 692 of the family's 1533-position model. Lineage: Bacteria; Pseudomonadati; Pseudomonadota; Gammaproteobacteria. The record is from RNAcentral.
GCCCUUAGAGUUUGAUCAUGGCUCAGAUUAAACGCUGGCGGCAUGCCUAACACAUGCAAGUCGAACGGUAACAGGCCUUUCGGGGUGCUGACGAGUGGCGGACGGGUGAGUAACGCGUGGGAAUCUGCCUGUGAGUGGGGGAUAGCCCGGAGAAAUCCGGAUUAAUACCGCAUAAGACCUUAGGGUGAAAGCGGGGGCUCGUAAGACCUCGCGCUGACAGAUGAGCCCGCGUCCGAUUAGCUGGUUGGUGGGGUAAAGGCCUACCAAGGCGACGAUCGGUAGCUGGUUUGAGAGGAUGAUCAGCCACACCGGGACUGAGACACGGCCCGGACUCCUACGGGAGGCAGCAGUGGGGAAUAUUGGACAAUGGGCGCAAGCCUGAUCCAGCAAUGCCGCGUGUGUGAAGAAGGCCUGCGGGUUGUAAAGCACUUUUAUUGGGGAGGAGAAGCGGAGCACGAACACUGCUCUGUGGAGACGUUACCUGAUGAAUAAGCACUGGCUAACUCCGUGCCAGCAGCCGCGGUAAUACGGAGGGUGCGAGCGUUAAUCGGAAUUACUGGGCGUAAAGGGCAUGUAGGCGGCCCGCUAAGUCUGAUGUGAAAGCCCUGGGCUUAACCUGGGAACGGCAUGAGAUACUGGCGAGCUGGAGUGCGACAGAAGGUAGUGGAAUUCCCGGUGUAGCGGUGAAAUGCAUA